GAUGAACGCUGGCGGCAGGCUUAAUACAUGCAAGUCGAACGGUAACACGGGUAGCAAUACCUGGUGACGAGUGGCGCACGGGUGCGUAACGCGUAUGCAACCUACCUUCAAUUGGGACAUAACGUUGAGAAAUUGGCGCUAAUAUUCCAUGUGGAUACGAAGAGGCAUCUUUUUAUAUUUAAAGAUUUAUUGAUUGAGGAUGGGCAUGCGUAUCAUUAGUUAGUUGGCGAGGUAACGGCUCACCAAGACCACGAUGAUUAGGGGUUCUGAGAGGAUAUCCCCCCACACUGGAACUGAGACACGGUCCAGACUCCUACGGGAGGCAGCAGUAGGGAAUAUUGGGCAAUGGAGGCAACUCUGACCCAGCCAUGCCGCGUGCAGGAAGACGGUCCUAUGGAUUGUAAACUGCUUUUAUCAUAGAGUAACCGCGGGGACGUGUCCCCGCCUGCAAGUAUAUGAUGAAUAAGCACCGGCUAACUCCGUGCCAGCAGCCGCGGUAAUACGGAGGGUGCAAGCGUUAUCCGGAUUUAUUGGGUUUAAAGGGUGCGCAGGCUGACAAGUAAGUCAGGGGUGAAAUUUUGCGGCUUAACUGCAAGACUGCCUCUGAUACUGCUUGACUAGAGUUCAAUUGACGUUGCCGGAAUGUGAUGUGUAGCGGUGAAAUGCAUAGAUAUGUCACAGAACGCCUAUCGUGAAGACAGGUAACGAAAUUGAUACAGACGCUCAUGCACGAAAGCGUGGGGAUCAAACAGGAUUAGAUACCCUGGUAGUCCACGCUGUAAACGAUGAUCACUCGUUGUUGGGUAGCAAUACUCAGUGGCCAAGCGAAAGCGAUAAGUGAUCCACCUGGGGAGUACGAUCGCAAGGUUGAAACUCAAAGGAAUUGACGGGGGCCCGCACAAGCGGAGGAGCAUGUGGUUUAAUUCGAUGAUACGCGAGGAACCCUUACCCCGGGCUUGAAUUGCAGCGGAAUAUUGGUGGAAACAACAAUAGCCUUCCGGGCCCGC
This 1007-nucleotide ribosomal RNA is filed under the name uncultured Bacteroidota bacterium. RNAcentral describes it as "bacterial SSU rRNA". It matches the Rfam family "Bacterial small subunit ribosomal RNA", at positions 28 to 1030 of the family's 1533-position model. Lineage: Bacteria; Pseudomonadati; Bacteroidota. The record is from RNAcentral.